Ribosomal RNA from Rhinopithecus bieti (black snub-nosed monkey), 119 nucleotides. The record is from Ensembl. Lineage: Eukaryota; Metazoa; Chordata; Mammalia; Primates; Cercopithecidae.
AUCUACAACCAUACUAACCUGAACGCGCGACAUCUCAUCUGAUCUCGGAAGCUAAGCAGGGUCGGGCCUGUUUAGUACUUGGAUGGGAGACCGCCUGGGAAUACCGGGUGCUGUAGGCU